Molecule: ribosomal RNA, 253 nt
Filed under: uncultured bacterium
Lineage: Bacteria
Description: partial 16S ribosomal RNA
Rfam family: Bacterial small subunit ribosomal RNA
Source: RNAcentral
UACGAAGGGGGCUAGCGUUGCUCGGAAUUACUGGGCGUAAAGGGAGCGUAGACGGACAGUUUAGUCAGUGGUGAAAGCCCAGGGCUCAACCUUGGAAUUGCCAUUGAUACUGAUUGUCUUGAGUAUGGGAGAGGUGUGCGGAACUCCGAGUGUAGAGGUGAAAUUCGUAGAUAUUCGGAAGAACACCAGUGGCGAAGGCGGCACACUGGCCCAUUACUGACGCUGAGGCUCGAAAGCGUGGGGAGCAAACAGG